This 240-nucleotide long non-coding RNA is filed under the name Mytilus galloprovincialis (Mediterranean mussel). Lineage: Eukaryota; Metazoa; Mollusca; Bivalvia; Mytilida; Mytilidae. The record is from RNAcentral.
GCAGUCUUGUAAUUGACUGCUCCAUAGGCUUACAUGCUAAACAGCUGAUCUUUGAAAAUAAAAAAAUAAAAAAUGUUACAUAGAAAAAAAUUUCAUGUUCAUAUCAUGUAUGUACUAAUGUGAAAUUGUGAUUUAAUCGGAAAAAAGUGGGUCAUGCCACGAAGAAUAAAAAGUUACGUAACCCUGAAGUCAAAAUAUUUUUUUUUCUACUUUCUCUUUGCUGUUUUUACUAGGCCACAC